This 1527-nucleotide ribosomal RNA is filed under the name Salmonella enterica. RNAcentral's name for it is "partial 23S ribosomal RNA". It matches the Rfam family "Bacterial large subunit ribosomal RNA", at positions 1292 to 2802 of the family's 2925-position model. Lineage: Bacteria; Pseudomonadati; Pseudomonadota; Gammaproteobacteria; Enterobacterales; Enterobacteriaceae. The record is from RNAcentral. RNAcentral also lists the same sequence under 3 other names.
GAAUGCUGACAUAAGUAACGAUAAAGCGGGUGAAAAGCCCGCUCGCCGGAAGACCAAGGGUUCCUGUCCAACGUUAAUCGGGGCAGGGUGAGUCGACCCCUAAGGCGAGGCCGAAAGGCGUAGUCGAUGGGAAACGGGUUAAUAUUCCCGUACUUGGUGUUACUGCGAAGGGGGGACGGAGAAGGCUAUGUUGGCCGGGCGACGGUUGUCCCGGUUUAAGCGUGUAGGUGUGUGUUCCAGGUAAAUCCGGUUCACUUUAACACUGAGGCGUGACGACGAGGCACUACGGUGCUGAAGCAACAAAUGCCCUGCUUCCAGGAAAAGCCUCUAAGCAUCAGGUAACAUCAAAUCGUACCCCAAACCGACACAGGUGGUCAGGUAGAGAAUACCAAGGCGCUUGAGAGAACUCGGGUGAAGGAACUAGGCAAAAUGGUGCCGUAACUUCGGGAGAAGGCACGCUGACACGUAGGUGAAGUGAUUUACUCAUGGAGCUGAAGUCAGUCGAAGAUACCAGCUGGCUGCAACUGUUUAUUAAAAACACAGCACUGUGCAAACACGAAAGUGGACGUAUACGGUGUGACGCCUGCCCGGUGCCGGAAGGUUAAUUGAUGGGGUCAGCGCAAGCGAAGCUCCUGAUCGAAGCCCCGGUAAACGGCGGCCGUAACUAUAACGGUCCUAAGGUAGCGAAAUUCCUUGUCGGGUAAGUUCCGACCUGCACGAAUGGCGUAAUGAUGGCCAGGCUGUCUCCACCCGAGACUCAGUGAAAUUGAACUCGCUGUGAAGAUGCAGUGUACCCGCGGCAAGACGGAAAGACCCCGUGAACCUUUACUAUAGCUUGACACUGAACAUUGAGCCUUGAUGUGUAGGAUAGGUGGGAGGCUUUGAAGCGUGGACGCCAGUCUGCGUGGAGCCGACCUUGAAAUACCACCCUUUAAUGUUUGAUGUUCUAACGUGGACCCGUGAUCCGGGUUGCGGACAGUGUCUGGUGGGUAGUUUGACUGGGGCGGUCUCCUCCUAAAGAGUAACGGAGGAGCACGAAGGUUGGCUAAUCCUGGUCGGACAUCAGGAGGUUAGUGCAAUGGCAUAAGCCAGCUUGACUGCGAGCGUGACGGCGCGAGCAGGUGCGAAAGCAGGUCAUAGUGAUCCGGUGGUUCUGAAUGGAAGGGCCAUCGCUCAACGGAUAAAAGGUACUCCGGGGAUAACAGGCUGAUACCGCCCAAGAGUUCAUAUCGACGGCGGUGUUUGGCACCUCGAUGUCGGCUCAUCACAUCCUGGGGCUGAAGUAGGUCCCAAGGGUAUGGCUGUUCGCCAUUUAAAGUGGUACGCGAGCUGGGUUUAGAACGUCGUGAGACAGUUCGGUCCCUAUCUGCCGUGGGCGCUGGAGAACUGAGGGGGGCUGCUCCUAGUACGAGAGGACCGGAGUGGACGCAUCACUGGUGUUCGGGUUGUCAUGCCAAUGGCACUGCCCGGUAGCUAAAUGCGGAAGAGAUAAGUGCUGAAAGCAUCUAAGCACGAAACUUGCCCCGA